Molecule: unclassified non-coding RNA, 1613 nt
Filed under: Haliotis rubra (blacklip abalone)
Lineage: Eukaryota; Metazoa; Mollusca; Gastropoda; Lepetellida; Haliotidae
Description: mpv17-like protein 2, transcript variant X1
Source: RNAcentral
UGUAAAUAUAUGCACGUGUUUAGUGACCGAACACGAUCAUGGUAGGACACUUGAGGUCAGGGGAUUUUUCUGAUGAAAUGCAGGUUCUGACUGAUAGAUUUCAGCUAGUGGUCGUUUGUACCUAGCAUUCAAAUACAAUGUUGUCGAAACUGAGCGUAUUUGCGAAGAGAUCGUUCAGCAAGCACCUGUUGUUGACAAAUAUAGCCACUUACAGUUCCUUACUGGCUCUCGGAGACUGUUUUGUGCAAACCAUCGAACGUCAUGCCACCGAUGGCGAGAAGCAACCUUAUAACUAUCACAGAACGGGUCGUGUGUUCAUCCUUGGGGUGGCUCUGGCACCUCUGAACCAUGUGUGGUACAAGCUGUUGGACAAGGUGAUCAAGGGGACAGGCGGGAAGGUGGCUGCCAAGAAGAUACUCACUGAACAGUUCUCAGCUGCCCCAUUCUUCUGUUCAGCUUAUAUUACAGGUAUUGGUGCCCUAGAGAGAAAAAGUGGACGUGAAAUUUAUCAAGAAUUGAGCGAGAAGUUUCUUUUUAUCUACCUCGUUGACUGGUUUGUGUGGCCGCCAGCACAGUUCAUCAACUUCUACUUUCUGCCAACACAAUACCGUGUUGCAUAUGUUUCUGUACUGACGCUAUGCUGGAACUGUUUUCUGUCCUAUAUUAAACACAAGAACCCAGAACCAGUUCCUCAUCUCACAGAGAAAUCCGAGAAAUGUGACUGAUGACUAAAACAGACAUGGCUUCAUUCCAUCUCAGGAAUACCGUAUUUCAUCUAAGAUCUAUUUGCUCAAUCAGAAUUUGCUGAGUGGAUUAAAAUGUGGUAAAAUUAAUAUCUGGCUUCAAUUUGUCCAUUCCCAUUACAAAUCAAGCCAGUUAGUUAACUACUGGCUUCCCUUGUUGUUAUCCUAUCACUGUUGUUGUUUCACAUAGAUUUAUAUAGCUAUAUGUGUCCUAGUUUUUUCUCUCAUCUGAUAAAGGCGUAAGAAUAUACUCUGAAAGGUAUAUUCUGAAACCUGUUCCUCAAGGGGCGGUGGGGUAGCCAUGUGGUGAAAGCAUCACUCGUAAGACCCGGGUUUGAUUCCCCACAUGGGUACAAUGUGUGAAGCCCAUUUCUGGUGUCGACAGCCAUGAUAUUGCUGGAAUAUUGCUGAAAGCAAUGUAAAACAGCUAAAUUAACUCACUGUGUUCCCCAAAUAAAAUUCUCGCCUCUAUUUUCUAUUUACUGAAGUAAACAUUAUGACGAUUAAAGUCAACAUGGCCAGUGGAUACUUCCGUAUAGGAAAUAUCCAUUUCCUUGGUCUUUGUCAAUCAAAAGAAACAUUACAUGAGACUGCCCAUUUAAAUGUAUGUGAUAUUCUCGUAUAUUGUUAUUUGCAGUGCGUGUGUGAAUAUUUUAUGUAUGUGUACCGCUGCCAGUAUUUUAUAUCUGCUGAAGGUGUAAAUGCUCUCAAUGUAUUUUAAAUGUUCUUUGAAUGUGUGGAAUGAUAUCCCAGUGAAAGAUCUUCUUUACACUAUCCCUGCCUGUUGAAAUGUGUCAAAAGAAAAUGGUUGUGUUUUGCAAAUAACAUUGUUAUACCUGCUGGUUAAAAGCAAUAAACAGAUUAAUGAAA